RNAcentral lists this ribosomal RNA (405 nucleotides) under uncultured bacterium. Its description in RNAcentral is "bacterial SSU rRNA". It matches the Rfam family "Bacterial small subunit ribosomal RNA", at positions 354 to 776 of the family's 1533-position model. The record is from RNAcentral.
GUGGGGAAUAUUGGACAAUGGGGGAAACCCUGAUCCAGCAAUGCCGCGUGAGUGAAGAAGGCCUUAGGGUUGUAAAGCUCUUUCACCCGUGAAGAUGAUGACGGUAGCGGGAGAAGAAGCUCCGGCUAACUCCGUGCCAGCAGCCGCGGUAAUACGGAGGGGGCAAGCGUUGUUCGGAAUUACUGGGCGUAAAGCGCGCGUAGGCGGCUUGUCUAGUUAGGCGUGAAAGCCCUGGGCUUAACCCAGGAACUGCGUUUAAUACUGGCAGGCUUGAGUCCGGGAGAGGGUGGCGGAAUUCCCAGUGUAGAGGUGAAAUUCGUAGAUAUUGGGAAGAACACCAGUGGCGAAGGCGGCCACCUGGACCGGUACUGACGCUGAGGUGCGAAAGCGUGGGGAGCAAACAGG